AAAGCUUUAAGUUAAGUAAACUAGUAACCUUCAAAGUUAAAAAUAAAACCCAUUAAGCUUUG
This 62-nucleotide transfer RNA is filed under the name Cryptocellus narino. RNAcentral's name for it is "tRNA-Trp". Lineage: Eukaryota; Metazoa; Arthropoda; Arachnida; Ricinulei; Ricinoididae. The record is from RNAcentral.